AAGAGCCUGAGCACUAUGAUCCUGCUAACGGCAGCUCUUAAUUUACUUCAAAGAGGCUUAAAACCGAACAGCAGCUUUUAGGAUAAACCUUUCAACAAGCACAAAUUUGGACAGUGGUGGUGUUUUAGAACCAGCUUUGACACCAGCAUUUACAUACAUCACUGAAUGGCAAAUGUUGUGUGAUUUGCAAAUGGAAGAAGUUGCUUUAUGGCUAUUCAUAAAUGACCUAUAUGUCUGAUUCACACAACAAAUAUGGAUCUUGAUUAUCUAAGAUGGUGGAGGAUAAUUUCCCACUGAAAGAAGAGAGUAAGGAAUUUAGCAGCUGUUUUUGUGGGAAGUAAAUGUAUUGGAAAUCUCAGCUGAGAGAUUACAGAGAAGAAAUCUGGUCACUGGCACUGGAGGAAAUGGAUUUAUCCCAGACAGUAUCAGCAGCAAAGAAAAACAACUAAAAGCCAACAGCAGAACAAUGAUGAAAAGCAAAAAAGCUGCAUGAAAAUGUACAAAAGGUCAUGUAUGGCAAUAAUAAAUAGUAAAGGUAAGUGUAA
Long non-coding RNA from Pezoporus occidentalis (night parrot), 545 nucleotides. RefSeq lists it as uncharacterized. The record is from RefSeq and is a predicted model, not a curated record. The transcript is spliced from 3 exons. NCBI's taxonomy places the organism in Eukaryota, Metazoa, Chordata, Aves, Psittaciformes, Psittacidae.